Triticum dicoccoides is the source of this 2341-nucleotide RNA transcript. RefSeq lists it as uncharacterized. The transcript has 8 exons. The record is from RefSeq and is a predicted model, not a curated record. Lineage: Eukaryota; Viridiplantae; Streptophyta; Magnoliopsida; Poales; Poaceae.
AUGCCGCCGCUGGCCGCCCUGCUCCUCCUGCUCUGGGCCGCAGCCUCCUCGGCCUCCGCCGCCAGCUUCACCUGCGCCAAACCGAGCACAUGCCGAUCCGCCGUCGCCUACGUCGUCCCCAACGCCACCACCUACGAGCAACUCGCUUCCCGCUUCAGCCCCACCGCCACCCUUCACCACCUCCUCGCCGCCAACCAACUCCCGCCCCACACCGACACCAGCCAAGCCAUUCCCGCGAAAACAGCCGUGCGCAUCCCCUUCAGGUGCCGCUGCGCCGGCGGCCUGGGCCAGUCGGACCUGGAUAUGUACACCGGCGGCCGUGGCGAUGACUACUUCAUGGAGGUCGUCACCGCCAACAACGUUGCCGCGGGCAAAUACUAUGGGCGGAGGCCGCUGCCCUGCAGCAGCGACAAGGUGGACGGCUCCCACGUGAUGCACCUUGCCUAUGUGAUCGUCCGCGCAGGCGACAAUAUCUCCCAGAUCGCCGCCAAGUAUGAGCUGCGGGAGUCAACGCUGCUCAGGAUCAAUAAUAUCACUAGCAGCCAGCUGCUGAUUCGCCAAGGCCACAUUCUUGAUAUCCCGCUAUUCCAAGGAAUGGGCACAUGGUCCAGGGUACAUUAUAACUCAGCACAUAGGAAAAGAAGAUUGCAGGGUGGAGGGGAUCCUGGGGUUACGACAUCAAAAGUAAUUAACAUUGUAAAAGUAGUUGUACCCGUUCUAAGCGUUCUUGUGUAUCUCGUUACAACAUGGUGUUACUGGAGAAGCGCACGCAAUUCCCUCUCGUCAGGGGCGAAUGGCUUUAUGGAAUUCAGUUAUAGUGAUCUAGCUUGCGCCACGAACAGAUUCUCCAGAGAUGCUCUUCUUGGAGAGGGUAUGUUCGGAGCAGUAUAUAAGGCGACGUUCAAGGGCCAGGAAGUGGCCGUGAAGAGAAUUAAAGCAGAGGGAAAGCUUGAGGAAUUCCAUCGCGAGCUCCAGACAGUUGGUAACACGAGGCACGAGAAUCUAGUUGACCUCAAAGGAUGGUGCGGCAAAGUCAGAGUGAUCGAUGGCAAGACUUGGUGGAAAAGGGUUAUCAAGGUUGAACUCUUCCUCGUCUUUGAGUUCAUAUCUAAUGGCGACCUUGAACACCACCUACACAACAACGACCAAGUUCUAUCAUGGGACAAAAGGUCUCCAUCCACUGCUCGUAACUCUCCAUCCAUUCACCGGAAUUGAGCAGGGGAUCCUGGGGUUACGACAUCAAAAGUAAUUAACAUUGUAAAAGUAGUUGUACCCGUUCUAAGCGUUCUUGUGUAUCUCGUUACAACAUGGUGUUACUGGAGAAGCGCACGCAAUUCCCUCUCGUCAGGGGCGAAUGGCUUUAUGGAAUUCAGUUAUAGUGAUCUAGCUUGCGCCACGAACAGAUUCUCCAGAGAUGCUCUUCUUGGAGAGGGUAUGUUCGGAGCAGUAUAUAAGGCGACGUUCAAGGGCCAGGAAGUGGCCGUGAAGAGAAUUAAAGCAGAGGGAAAGCUUGAGGAAUUCCAUCGCGAGCUCCAGACAGUUGGUAACACGAGGCACGAGAAUCUAGUUGACCUCAAAGGAUGGUGCGGCAAAGUCAGAGUGAUCGAUGGCAAGACUUGGUGGAAAAGGGUUAUCAAGGUUGAACUCUUCCUCGUCUUUGAGUUCAUAUCUAAUGGCGACCUUGAACACCACCUACACAACAACGACCAAGUUCUAUCAUGGGACAAAAGGUCUCCAUCCACUGCUCGUAACUCUCCAUCCAUUCACCGGAAUUGAGCAGGGGAUCCUGGGGUUACGACAUCAAAAGUAAUUAACAUUGUAAAAGUAGUUGUACCCGUUCUAAGCGUUCUUGUGUAUCUCGUUACAACAUGGUGUUACUGGAGAAGCGCACGCAAUUCCCUCUCGUCAGGGGCGAAUGGCUUUAUGGAAUUCAGUUAUAGUGAUCUAGCUUGCGCCACGAACAGAUUCUCCAGAGAUGCUCUUCUUGGAGAGGGUAUGUUCGGAGCAGUAUAUAAGGCGACGUUCAAGGGCCAGGAAGUGGCCGUGAAGAGAAUUAAAGCAGAGGGAAAGCUUGAGGAAUUCCAUCGCGAGCUCCAGACAGUUGGUAACACGAGGCACGAGAAUCUAGUUGACCUCAAAGGAUGGUGCGGCAAAGUCAGAGUGAUCGAUGGCAAGACUUGGUGGAAAAGGGUUAUCAAGGUUGAACUCUUCCUCGUCUUUGAGUUCAUAUCUAAUGGCGACCUUGAACACCACCUGCACAACAACGACCAAGUUCUAUCAUGGGACAAAAGAGCCGGGAGACGAGUUCGCUAACGAGGAGCCCGUUGAGUUUGCUUUCGAG